UUGGAGGGCAAGUCUGGUGCCAGCAGCCGCGGUAAUUCCAGCUCCAAUAGCGUAUAUUAAAGUUGUUGCAGUUAAAAAGCUCGUAGUUGAAUUUCGGGAUCAAUUCGCUGGUCGUGCCUCGGUACGUACUGUCUUAUUGGUUUCUCCCUUCUGAAGAACCUUGAUGUCAUUCAUUUGGUGUCUUGGGGAAUCAGGACUGUUACUUUGAGAAGAUUAGAGUGUUUAAAGCAAGCUUACGCUUGAAUACAUUAGCAUGGAAUAAUGAAAUAGGACGUUUGAUUCUAUUUUGUUGGUUUCUAGGAUCGACGUAAUGAUUAAUAGGGAUAGUUGGGGGCAUUAGUAUUCAAUUGUCAGAGGUGAAAUUCUUGGAUUUAUUGAAGACUAACUACUGCGAAAGCAUUUGCCAAGGAUGUUUUCAUUAAUCAAGAACGAAAGUUAGGGGACCGAAGACGAUCAGAUACCGUCGUAGUCUUAACCAUAAACUAUGACGACUAGGGAUCGGAUGAUGUUAUUUUUAAUGACUCAUUCGGCGCCUUACGGGAAACCAAAGUGUUUGGGUUC
RNAcentral lists this ribosomal RNA (561 nucleotides) under uncultured Glomeromycotina. RNAcentral's name for it is "SSU rRNA". It matches the Rfam family "Eukaryotic small subunit ribosomal RNA", at positions 548 to 1114 of the family's 1831-position model. Lineage: Eukaryota; Fungi; Glomeromycota. The record is from RNAcentral.